AAGUAGAGUGCCGGCGCUGUCGGGGAGCUCCUGCCCUGACAUUGCUGGCUUUGAAGAUGGUGGAAGGAGAUCAAUCAAGGAAGCAGGUGGCCUCUAAAAGCUGGAAAAAGUACAGAGAGCCUCCACCUUGAUCUUGGCCCAGUUAGAACCCUGUCAGGCUUCCUUCUACCGAGCUGUAAAGGAAGAUUAGCCCUGAGCUAACUACUGCCAAUCCUCCUCUUUUUGCUGAGGAAGCCUGGCCCUGAGCUCACAUCCGUGCCCAUCUUCCUCUACUUUAUACAUGGGACGCCUACCACAGCAUGGUGUGCCAAGCAGUGCCAUGUCUGCACCCGGGAUCCGAACCCACGAACCCUGGGCCACUGAGAAGCAGAACGUGCGAACUUAACUGCUAUGCCAGCGGGCAGGCCCCCCAAUUCUUUCUUAUCUUCACUAAGACAGCACAUUCAGAAAAACUUUCAGUAGGACCUCACCCAAAUCCUCUCUUCUUACUGACUGAACACAUAGGUGUAGCCCCUUAGUGCAGGCCAGAGAAGGUAAACGUGUGCUUCUCCUUGGGCAUCAUGGCCCAGUAGACCAGCUGAAGUUCUCUGACUGCAAUGAUCGUCCUCUGGUGAGUUCAUGCAAAAUAUUUUUCAAACGUGAUGCUAAUUCACAAAAUUACAGAUUUUCAACCUUAUGAUUUUAAGAAGCAUUUCAGUAUGAUAAGUGCCAAUUAUAUUCCUAACCUCCUGUUUCUCCAGGCAAGGCAGCUCCUCUUCAAAUCUGGCUCUUGUAACAGCUCUCAACUUACUCUUUAAACGAGUAGUAAACUGGAAGUUUCUUUCUCUAUUUGGAGCUUUGUUUUCCUCUUUUAAAGUAUGUCUUCUCACAGGUUUCACUGGGAAUUGUAUUGAAUAUAAAACAUGAAAUCUUUUUCUAUCUAGAGAUAAUGUGUAUAUGUUUGAGUGCGUGUGUGCUUGAGUGUGUUUGAGGGGCAUAAAGGAAUAGAUUACGUAAUUUCCAAGGCAAUAGAAGACACUUCCAGCAAUAUAGGAACCUUACUUGCUAAAGUGUAGGGAAAAUUCCUAAUGGUUUUAGGGAGGUAUUCUCAAAACAGCAAAUCUGUGUGUUAUUCUGUCAUUUAGAAAUGUGACAAGUCAUUUUUCCCUUUACAAGG
Molecule: long non-coding RNA, 1156 nt
Filed under: Equus caballus (horse)
Lineage: Eukaryota; Metazoa; Chordata; Mammalia; Perissodactyla; Equidae
Description: lncRNA (ENSECAG00000051174.1)
Source: RNAcentral